GCUCUCUGUCUUUACUAUCUUCCUCUUCUUUGCAGAGGCUCUACUGCUACUCCCAGCUGUCAGCCUUUUGUUUUCCUUGGGGUUCUUCUUCCAGUUCUCAAAUAACUGUGGAGACAUCACCUUGUGCACAUUCAAGGCUUCUCCCUCAUCUUCCUUGAUUUUCCCUCCUAGUUUCUUCUUUAGAAUGAUACUCAGCAACCUUCCAUGAAAUACCUUGGUCAGUGGCUUCUUCUCAGCUUUCUCUACCCACUU
Molecule: long non-coding RNA, 252 nt
Filed under: Panax ginseng (ginseng)
Lineage: Eukaryota; Viridiplantae; Streptophyta; Magnoliopsida; Apiales; Araliaceae
Description: long non-coding RNA (PGIN_LNC002277)
Source: RNAcentral